UGCGCCAAAAGCUUUGGUGAAGCUGAGCUGCCCGGCCACUGCCACUCCUCCCGCAGAUGAAGGAACUGAGAACCACAGGGACAGUGGAAGAGGAUGGAACCGGUAGUUUUCAAUAUACAAGGCUUUCACCUCUUUAUUAAAUUAUUUCUAAGUAUUUUAAUCUUUUUGAUGCUAUUCAUCUUCAACCCAGAUUUCAAAUACCAGUGUUUUCAAACUAGAAGAGAAUCCAAAAUCUGCACUUAUUCUGGAGAAAAAAAAUGAAGCUAACCAUCUAGGACAACAAAGGGAUUCUAGUAAGCAAGGAGGUAGUUAUACACAAGGAAAUCCAGGAACAUUUAGUCUUCAAGGACAACCAGGAUAUUUUAACAAGCUAGAGAAACCAACACAUUUUAAGCAAGGGAGAGCAGGAGUUUUAAACCAGCCUGGGAUUUUAAAGAAUUCAGGAAAAUCUAACCAAAAAGGGAAUCCAGAAUCUUCUAAUAUGCAGGAAAACUCAGGAUCUUCUAGCCAACUAGGGAAACCAGGGAUUUAUACCCAAAAGGUGAAUCCAGGGUCAUCUGGCCAACAAGGGAAACCAGGGUCAUUUAGCCGGAAAGUGAUGGUGGGGUCAUCUAGCCAACAGGGGAAGCCAGGAUCAUCUAGCCAACAUGGGAAUCUAGGGUCAUCUACCCAGAAAGGGAAUUUAGGAUCUUCUAGCCUACAAGGGCAUCUGGGUUUAUCUAGCCAUCAAGGGAAGCCAGAGUCAUCUGGCCAACAAGGGAAGCCAGGGUCAUCUAGCCAACAAGGAAAUCUAGGAUCUUCUAGCCAACAAGGGAAUCCAGGGUCUUCUAGCCAUCAAGCAAAGCCAGGUUCAUCUAGCCAACAAGGAAAUCUAGGAUCUUCUGGCCAACAGGGGAAGCCAGGAUCUUCUAGGGAACAGGGGAAGCCAGGGUCGUCUAGCCAUCAAGGGAAGCCAGGGUCAUCUAGCCAACAAGGAAAUCUACAUUUAUCUAGCCAGCAAGGGAAUCAAGGACCUUCUAGCAAACAGAGGAAGCCAGGGUCAUCCAGCCAUCAAGGAAAUCUACGAUUAUCUAGCCAGCAAGGGAAUAUAGGAUCUCCUAGCCAACAGGGGAAGCCAGAGUCUUCUAGCCAACAAGGGAAUCUAGGGUCAUCUAGCCAUCAAGGGAAACCAGGGUCAUCUAGCCAUCAAGGGAAGCCAGUGUCAUCUAGCCAACAAGGGAAGCCAGGGGCAUCUAGUCAACAAGGAAAUCUAGGGUCAUCUAGCCAGCAAGGAGAUCUAGGAUCUUCUAAGCAGCAAGGGAAGCCAGGGUCAUCUAGCCAGCAAGGAAAUAUAGGGUCAUCUGGCCAGGAAUGGAAGCCAGAGUCAUCUAGCCAACAGAGAAAAUUAAGGUCACUUUACAACCAACAACAAA
RNAcentral lists this small RNA (1412 nucleotides) under Pongo abelii (Sumatran orangutan). RNAcentral's name for it is "processed transcript". Lineage: Eukaryota; Metazoa; Chordata; Mammalia; Primates; Hominidae. The record is from RNAcentral.